This 222-nucleotide ribosomal RNA is filed under the name Triticum aestivum (bread wheat). RNAcentral's name for it is "partial small subunit ribosomal RNA". Lineage: Eukaryota; Viridiplantae; Streptophyta; Magnoliopsida; Poales; Poaceae. The record is from RNAcentral.
UCCACAUGGUUAAUAACUACCCCUCUUUCUAAGGGGCGUUUACCUAGCCAACACUUAGAUCCGGCUCUACCCAAACUUUUUUGGUUCACCCCAACAUUAUCCACUUGUUCGACUAUUGCUAAGUAGUUCUGGGAUACUAAACGAACCUCCCCAGAUGGUAAUAUUAAAGCGGCUGAUUUACCCUCUUUUGCAGUGAGUUUCGCUACAACACCAGCUGCUUAG